RNAcentral lists this ribosomal RNA (292 nucleotides) under uncultured bacterium. RNAcentral's name for it is "partial 16S ribosomal RNA". It matches the Rfam family "Bacterial small subunit ribosomal RNA", at positions 505 to 796 of the family's 1533-position model. The record is from RNAcentral.
GUGUCAGCCGCCGCGGUAAUACAGGGGGUGCAAGCGUUGCUCGGAAUUACUGGGCGUAAAGCGCACGCAGGCGGAUGAACAAGUCGGACGUGAAAUCCCUGGGCUCAACUCAGGAACUGCAUUCGAAACUGUUCGUCUGGAGUACGGGAGAGGUGAGUGGAAUUCCUGGUGUAGAGGUGAAAUUCGUAGAUAUCAGGAGGAACACCGGCGGCGAAAGCGGCUCACUGGCCCGAUACUGACGCUCAUGUGCGAGAGCGUGGGGAGCAAACAGGAUUAGAAACCCCCGUAGUCC